Molecule: ribosomal RNA, 878 nt
Filed under: Stachybotrys chartarum
Lineage: Eukaryota; Fungi; Ascomycota; Sordariomycetes; Hypocreales; Stachybotryaceae
Description: eukaryotic LSU rRNA
Rfam family: Eukaryotic large subunit ribosomal RNA
Source: RNAcentral
CUGAAACUUAAGCAUAUCAAUAAGCGGAGGAAAAGAAACCAACAGGGAUUGCCUUAGUAACGGCGAGUGAAGCGGCAACAGCUCAAAUUUGAAAUCUGGCCCCAGGCCCGAGUUGUAAUUUGCAGAGGAUGCUUUUGGCGCGGUGCCUUCCGAGUUCCCUGGAACGGGACGCCAUAGAGGGUGAGAGCCCCGUCUGGUUGGAUACCAAGCCUUUGUAAAGCUCCUUCGACGAGUCGAGUAGUUUGGGAAUGCUGCUCUAAAUGGGAGGUAUAUGUCUUCUAAAGCUAAAUACCGGCCAGAGACCGAUAGCGCACAAGUAGAGUGAUCGAAAGAUGAAAAGCACUUUGGAAAGAGAGUUAAACAGCACGUGAAAUUGUUAAAAGGGAAGCGUUUAUGACCAGACUUGGGCCGGUUAAUCAUCCAGCGUUCUCGCUGGUGCACUUUGCCGGUCCAGGCCAGCAUCAGUUCGCUGCGGGGGAUAAAGGCGUCGGGAAUGUGGCUCCUCUGGAGUGUUAUAGCCCUUCGCGCAAUACCCUGCGGUGGACUGAGGUUCGCGCAUCUGCAAGGAUGCUGGCGUAAUGGUCAUCAACGACCCGUCUUGAAACACGGACCAAGGAGUCGUCUUCGUAUGCGAGUGUUCGGGUGUAAAACCCCUACGCGUAAUGAAAGUGAACGCAGGUGAGAGCUUCGGCGCAUCAUCGACCGAUCCUGAUGUUCUCGGAUGGAUUUGAGUAAGAGCAUACGGGGCCGGACCCGAAAGAAGGUGAACUAUGCCUGUAUAGGGUGAAGCCAGAGGAAACUCUGGUGGAGGCUCGCAGCGGUUCUGACGUGCAAAUCGAUCGUCAAAUAUGGGCAUGGGGGCGAAAGACUAAUCGACU